This 482-nucleotide ribosomal RNA is filed under the name uncultured bacterium. Its description in RNAcentral is "partial 16S ribosomal RNA". It matches the Rfam family "Bacterial small subunit ribosomal RNA", at positions 28 to 523 of the family's 1533-position model. The record is from RNAcentral.
GAUGAACGCUGGCGGCGUGCUUAACACAUGCAAGUCGAACGGUGAAGGAGAGCUUGCUCUCCGGAUCAGUGGCGAACGGGUGAGUAACACGUGAGCAAUCUGCCCCUGACUCUGGGAUAAGCGCUGGAAACGGCGUCUAAUACCGGAUACGAGCUGCGAAGGCAUCUUCAGCAGCUGGAAAGAACUUCGGUCAGGGAUGAGCUCGCGGCCUAUCAGCUAGUUGGUGAGGUAAUGGCUCACCAAGGCGUCGACGAGUAGCCGGCCUGAGAGGGUGACCGGCAACACUGGGACUGAGACACGGCCCAGACUCCUACGGGAGGCAGCAGUGGGGAAUAUUGCACAAUGGGCGCAAGCCUGAUGCAGCAACGCCGCGUGAGGGACGACGGCCUUCGGGUUGUAAACCUCUUUUAGCAGGGAAGAAGCGAAAGUGACGGUACCUGCAGAAAAAGCACCGGCUAACUACGUACCAGCCGCCGCGGUAA